RNAcentral lists this ribosomal RNA (634 nucleotides) under uncultured bacterium. RNAcentral describes it as "bacterial SSU rRNA". The stretch from base 1 to 545 matches the Rfam family "Bacterial small subunit ribosomal RNA", at positions 338 to 873 of the family's 1533-position model. The record is from RNAcentral.
CCUACGGGAGGCAGCAGUGGGGAAUUUUGGACAAUGGGCGCAAGCCUGAUCCAGCCAUGCCGCGUGCGAGAAGAAGGCCUUCGGGUUGUAAACCGCUUUUGUCAGGGAAGAAAUCCUUUGAGCUAAUACCUCGGGGGGAUGACGGUACCUGAAGAAUAAGCACCGGCUAACUACGUGCCAGCAGCCGCGGUAAUACGUAGGGUGCGAGCGUUAAUCGGAAUUACUGGGCGUAAAGCGUGCGCAGGCGGUCUUGCAAGACAGGUGUGAAAUCCCCGGGCUUAACCUGGGAACUGCACUUGUGACUGCAAGGCUGGAGUACGGCAGAGGGGGAUGGAAUUCCGCGUGCAGCAGUGAAAUGCGUAGAUAUGCGGAGGAACACCGAUGGCGAAGGCAGUCCCCUGGGCCUGUACUGACGCUCAUGCACGAAAGCGUGGGGAGCAAACAGGAUUAGAUACCCUGGUAGUCCACGCCCUAAACGAUGUCAACUGGUUGUUGGACGGGCUUGUCUGUUCUAGUAACGAAGACUACGCGUGUAGUUGACCGCCGUGGGAGGUACGGCCGCGAGGUUAGAACGUACAAAUAGAGUUAGACGGCGUGAGACGUGCCGAACGGACGACACGAGGGGAGGUUAGGG